GACGAAGGAUGCAAGCGUUAUCCGGAUUCAUUGGGUUUAAAGGGAGCGUAGGCGGCCUUAUAAGUCAGUGGUGAAAUCUCUCGGCUUAACUGAGAAAUUGCCAUUGAUACUGUAGGGCUUGAGUACAGAUGCCGUUGGCGGAAUAUGACAUGUAGUGGUGAAAUACAUAGAGAUGUCAUAGAACACCGAUUGCGAAGGCAGCUAACGAAACUGUAACUGACGCUGAGGCUCAAAAGUGCGGGGAUCAAACAGG
This 253-nucleotide ribosomal RNA is filed under the name uncultured bacterium. RNAcentral describes it as "partial 16S ribosomal RNA". It matches the Rfam family "Bacterial small subunit ribosomal RNA", at positions 524 to 776 of the family's 1533-position model. The record is from RNAcentral.